This is a long non-coding RNA of Sorex araneus (European shrew), 263 nucleotides long. RefSeq lists it as uncharacterized. Lineage: Eukaryota; Metazoa; Chordata; Mammalia; Eulipotyphla; Soricidae. The record is from RefSeq and is a predicted model, not a curated record. The transcript is spliced from 3 exons.
UGAGGUCGGAUUUUUCUGCCUCUAGGAAGGAUGAUUAUCACAAGCAUUAAUAUCUACAAAGAAGUCUGGGCUGAGAUGAAGAGUUGGCAAACCUGCUUUACUUACCAGAGCCAAUGGGUAUUAUGUAACCAAGGUCCCCAGGAGAGAGGGAAGACAACUGCUAACGAGAAACAAUCAGAACGCAGUACCCCGGUGGAAUAAAAAAAGCUUACACGUCUAUUGAAUGCUACAGAAGGGACAUAAAGGAGUGGCUGACUGCAGAG